AGCAAGCACACAAAGGCAUACACGACGGCCGAGGACAAGCUUCUUUGCGAGUGUUGGAGGGACAUUGGACAAGACCCCAAGACCGGUGCCGAACAAAAGCAUUCAACUUUUUGGAUUCGUGUCCAUCGGGAGUUUCAUGAGCGCAAGAAGUUUCGUCCUUACCAAAUUGUGAGCAUGCGUGGGUGGGUGUCCGUUUCUAAGCGAUGGAGAGUGAUCCAACAAGAGUGCAACAAGUUUUGUGCCACUCUUGAGAGCGUCAAAGCCCGCCCCGUGAGCGGCAUCGGCAUGCAAGACAUGGUAUAG
RNAcentral lists this ribosomal RNA (303 nucleotides) under Triticum aestivum (bread wheat). Its description in RNAcentral is "partial small subunit ribosomal RNA". Lineage: Eukaryota; Viridiplantae; Streptophyta; Magnoliopsida; Poales; Poaceae. The record is from RNAcentral.